CCUACGGGGCGCAGCAGUGGGGAAUAUUGCACAAUGGGGGGAACCCUGAUGCAGCGACGCCGCGUGGGUGAAGAAGUCAUUCGUGACGUAAAGCCCUAUCAGCAGGGAAGAAAAUGACGGUACCUGACUAAGAAGCCCCGGCUAACUACGUGCCAGCAGCCGCGGUAAUACGUAGGGGGCAAGCGUUAUCCGGAUUUACUGGGUGUAAAGGGAGCGUAGACGGCAGUGCAAGUCUGAAGUGAAAGGCAAGGGCUCAACCCUUGGACUGCUUUGGAAACUGUGCUGCUGGAGUGUCGGAGAGGCAA
RNAcentral lists this ribosomal RNA (305 nucleotides) under uncultured bacterium. RNAcentral describes it as "bacterial SSU rRNA". It matches the Rfam family "Bacterial small subunit ribosomal RNA", at positions 338 to 660 of the family's 1533-position model. The record is from RNAcentral.